Molecule: long non-coding RNA, 438 nt
Filed under: Equus caballus (horse)
Lineage: Eukaryota; Metazoa; Chordata; Mammalia; Perissodactyla; Equidae
Description: lncRNA (ENSECAG00000057708.1)
Source: RNAcentral
GCUGCUCUUUCUCCAGGGUACCAGAAGCCUCUAUCCCUGCUUCACCAUACAGCUCCACCCACCUCACGGCUACCGUAUUGGACCGGCACAGCAUGAGGCUGUACUGCCUUGCGAUGGAUGCCGUAACACUACAUUUUGGACAGCACGCAGAUGAGGAAGCAGGUGAUUCUCCAAACCCUCACGGUGACUAAGCCAGACUGUCGGGACUCCAGCUUGCUGCGCCUGGCUUUCCACCAGGCUUCAGUGCUACCUACCAACACUUUCUCUGAGGGACGUAGAGAGGCUGGGACCUUUGAGGUCCAGGACGAGAGCAGAAGAGGCAGCGAGUGGGACCCCUGCAAGGACAGGUCCUGCGUGUUCUGCCCGAGAAACCCAAGUGAGGGAGAGAGCUCCACAGCCAACAGGUUACUUUUCAUAGUAGAACUAUGAGGUUGAACC